Molecule: ribosomal RNA, 577 nt
Filed under: uncultured bacterium
Lineage: Bacteria
Description: bacterial SSU rRNA
Rfam family: Bacterial small subunit ribosomal RNA
Source: RNAcentral
CACAAGCGGUGGAGCAUGUGGUUUAAUUCGACGAUACACGAAGAACCUUACCUGGACUUGACAUAGUAAGAAUGAUUUAGAGAUAGAUUAGUGUCUGCUUGCAGAAACUUGCAUACAGGUGCUGCACGGCUGUCGUCAGCUCGUGUCGUGAGAUGUUGGGUUAAGUCCCGCAACGAGCGCAACCCUCGUCCUUAGUUGCUAACAGUUCGGCUGAGAACUCUAAGGAGACUGCCUACGCAAGUAGGAGGAAGGUGAGGAUGACGUCAAGUCAUCAUGGCCCUUACGUCCAGGGCUACACACGUGCUACAAUGGGGUAUACAAAGAGCAGCAAUACGGUGACGUGGAGCAAAUCUCAAAAAUGCCUCCCAGUUCGGAUUGUAGUCUGCAACUCGACUACAUGAAGUUGGAAUCGCUAGUAAUCGUAGAUCAGCUAUGCUACGGUGUAUACGCUCCCGGGUCUUGUACUCGCCGCCCGUCACACCAUGGGAGUUGAACUCAUUCGAAGCGGGGAUGCUAAAGUAGCUACCUUCCACAGUGGAUUCAGCGACUGGGGUGAAGUCGUAACAAGGUAGCCGUA